UGGCUCAGGAUGAACGCUAGGCGGCAGGCUUAACACAUGCAAGUCGAGGGGCAGCGGGAUGUAGCAAUACAUUGCCGGCGACCGGCGGAGUGGGUGCGUAACGCGUAUGCAACCUACCUUAGUACAGGGGAAUAACCGUUUCGAAAGGGAGACUAACACCCCAUGGUAUUGAUUUAAGGCAUCGUUAGAUUUAAUUAAAUAUUUAUAGGUAUAAGAUGGGCAUGCGUAUGAUUAGCUAGUUGGUAAGGUAACGGCUUACCAAGGCGACGAUCAUAGGGGUUCUGAGAGGAAGGUCCCCCACACUGGUACUGAGACACGGACCAGACUCCUACGGGAGGCAGCAGUGAGGAAUAUUGGGUCAAUGGGCGCAAGCCUGAACCAGCCAUGCCGCGUGCAAGGAAGACGGCCUUAUGGGUUGUAAACUGCUUUUACAUAAGACUAACCGUAUAUUUGCGAAUAUACCUGAAUGUAUUAUGAGAAUAAGGAUCGGCUAACUCCGUGCCAGCCGCCGC
Molecule: ribosomal RNA, 512 nt
Filed under: uncultured bacterium
Lineage: Bacteria
Description: bacterial SSU rRNA
Rfam family: Bacterial small subunit ribosomal RNA
Source: RNAcentral